Molecule: ribosomal RNA, 464 nt
Filed under: uncultured bacterium
Lineage: Bacteria
Description: partial 16S ribosomal RNA
Rfam family: Bacterial small subunit ribosomal RNA
Source: RNAcentral
GACGAACGCUGGCGGCGUGCUUAACACAUGCAAGUCGAGCGGACAGGCCCUUUCGUGGCUACUCGAGCGGCGAACGGGGGCGUAAGAGUAGCGUAAGCUGCCCUUCCCUUUGGGACAAGCUCCGGAACCGGAGGCCAAUACCCGUACCGAACAUUCCUUGCAUGCGCAGGGGGUGGUAGUUUAAUCGGUGGGGGAUGUGCCUGCGGCCUAGCAGCUUGUUGGAGGGGUAAGGGGCUACCAAGGCUUCGACGGGUAGCCGGCCUGAGAGGGUGACCGGCGACACUGGGACUGAGACACGGCCCAGACUGCUACGGGAGGCAGCAGUGGGGAAUAUGGGACAAUGGGCGGAAGCCUGAGCCAGCAACGCCGCGUGAGGGAUGACGGCCUUCGGGUUGUAAACCUCUUUCACCUGUGACGAAGCGAAAGUGACGGUAGCAGGAGAAGAAGCACCGGCCAACUACGUG